Cercophora newfieldiana is the source of this 90-nucleotide non-coding RNA. Lineage: Eukaryota; Fungi; Ascomycota; Sordariomycetes; Sordariales; Lasiosphaeriaceae. The record is from the annotation of a GenBank genome assembly.
GGGCGUGUAGCUCAGGGGUAGAGCGUUCGCUUCGCAUCCCUGUUGACUCCUGUAUGCGAAAGGCCCUGGGUUCGAUUCCCAGCUCGUCCA